CUUCAGGAGUGAAGCUGCAGACCUUCGCGUGAUGGAGGUUGAGAAGUCCAACUUCAAGGCACCACAUCUGGUGAGAGCCUUCAUUCCGAUGACAGCCUUCAUGCUGGUAAGAUUUUCUUCAGAGUUCCAAGGUGGUGCACGGCAUCACAUGGCGAAGGAAAUGAGCGUGCUAGCUCAGGUGUCUCUUCCUCUUCUUAUAAAGCCACCAGUCCCACUCCUGUGCUAGUAACUCUUUAAUCCAUCAACCCAUUAAUCCAUGAAUAGAUUAACCCAUGAGGCCUCUGCCCUCAGGACCCAAUCACCUCUUAAAGGCCUGACCUGUCAAUAUUGCCAUACUGGGGACUCAGUUUCAACAUGAGUUUUGAAAGGGACAAACAUUCAAUCCAUAGUAACAUGAGAGCUUUUCAAAGCCCUUCUUUGUUGAAGUAUGUCCUUCUCCAGCCUCUUUUUUCCCAGGCUUUUUGUUUUUUCUAUUGCUUGUGCAGCUGUUAUCCUUUGCUACAGGUGGCAAUAGCUAAUACAUUUGCCUUUAAAUUUGUUUGACAAACACCACCCUGGAAGUAGCCUCAACUCUGGGGAAGCUCCAAGACAGGUAAAAUACAGCAACCUGCAGCAGGAAAAUGGGCUUCAGUUUUCAAGUCUGCAGCUGAGUUGGGAAGUUGCGGACAGUAACCAGUUCUAGAAAAAGCGCUUAGUGUGAAAUUUGUGGGAAAGAUGCUGUUCAGAGUUUAAUUUCAUUAUGUAGUUAACCAAUGAAAAUCCAGCGGAAAAAAAAGAGGAAAGGCCACAUGGGGACAAGAGAGGGCAACUGUCUACAAAUCUGGAAGAGAGACUUCAGAAGAAACCAGCACUGAUGGCAUCUGAUCUUGGACUUCCAGCCUCUGGAUCUAUCUGCCAGAGCCUGAUCUCAUACACACUGAUGUGGUACAGGAAAUGCCACCUGAAAAUAUGGUACCUUGGCAUUUGAGGAAACAGUAGAAGGAGGUCAUAGAAACUAGAAAGAAUUCCUCCUUGCUCUUUGUCCCCCAAAGGAGCCAUAAAACCUGGGCCGAGUUUCUUCUGAAAAUAAGUUAUAAGAUCCUUAUUCCAGAGGGGUCCUGCCCUGUGCCUGGAGGAAAAGAAUGAAGACACAGAGAUGCCUUGAAGAAUCUGAACAAACAGCCCUUGCUAAGUUCCCCCCAGUUUAUUGACAUUAGAUUAGACCUUUUGUCCUCCAAUUAUACUUCUGUGUUCCUGAAAAUACACAUUUUCCCGUUUUUUCUUUUGUUUGCUUUUUUUGAUCUUCAUUUCUGAAGA
This 1296-nucleotide long non-coding RNA is filed under the name Homo sapiens (human). Its description in RNAcentral is "HSALNT0372303". The record is from RNAcentral. Lineage: Eukaryota; Metazoa; Chordata; Mammalia; Primates; Hominidae.